GGCCACAGACGGCAGGACGCCGACAUGACCACCAUGGCCUGGUCCCCUCUGCUCCUCACCCUGGUCGCUCUCUGCACAGGAACCUGGGCCCAGGCUGUGCUGACUCAGCCGUCCUCUGUGUCCAAGUCCCUGGGCCAGAGCGUCUCCAUCACCUGCUCUGGAAGCAGCAGCAACGUUGGAUAUGGUAAUUAUGUGAGCUGGUUCCAACAGCUCCCAGGAUCAGCCCCCAAACUCCUCAUCUAUGGUGCAACCAGUCGAGCCUCGGGGGUCCCCGACCGAUUCUCCGGCUCCAGGUCUGGCAACACAGCGACUCUGACCAUCAGCUCACUCCAGGCUGAGGACGAGGCCGAUUAUUACUGUGCAUCUUAUGACAGUAGUAGCAGUGGUACCACAGUGCUCCAGGCCAGCGGGGAACGUGAGGACGAGGCUGACUCUGACCGUGCAGGCUGGUGCAACAGGGCUCCUCACAGCGACACAGGAUCCUGGGCCCGGGCUGUGCUGAAUCAGCCGCCCUCCGUGUCCAGGACUUUGGGCCAGAGGGUCACCCUCUCCCGCACUGGAAGCAGCAGCAACACUGGGGUUAUUAUAUCCGAGGCCGACCCAUGGCUCCGAUACCUCAGCCUGCCCUGUGUCACAGAUAGGACGUCCUGCUAA
Budorcas taxicolor (takin) is the source of this 654-nucleotide non-coding RNA. The record is from the annotation of a RefSeq genome assembly. Lineage: Eukaryota; Metazoa; Chordata; Mammalia; Artiodactyla; Bovidae.